AAACCAUGGUGUGGGCACUCUGUAAAUCCUUGAACCUUUCCCAGACCUCGAACAAACUCUCAUCUUCUUGUUGAGUAAUAGCAAUGAUUUGGCUCCUCAGACG
This is a non-coding RNA of Spinacia oleracea (spinach), 103 nucleotides long. The record is from Rfam. NCBI's taxonomy places the organism in Eukaryota, Viridiplantae, Streptophyta, Magnoliopsida, Caryophyllales, Amaranthaceae.